ACCCACUCUCCGUCUCGUAAGCAGGAAUACGGGAGGCCGGAAGGGUUACUGCAGAGGCUGCAGCCUUGAUCCGUCGUGAUCCUAGGUGCAACGGCCGUGCCCUUGGUCUGCAGCAAUUGAUUUGGCAAACACAUUUUUCUCUUUUUUCUUUCUGCCCGGCCUUCCAGGAGCUGUUGACUGAACGGCCUCAGCUCAGCUUCGAGGUCGAGAUAGAGAAUCGAGACCUGGGCUUCCUGGGUUCAAAGUCCAGCUCCUCCCGAUUAUUAGUUGAGUGAAAGUUAGUUAGUCUUUCUGAGCUUCAGUUUUAUAAUAGCACUAGUGCCUGCUUCGUAGAGGUUUUGACUGUGAGCUGAGAGAAUGGAUUAAAGUGCCUGCGUCGUCAAAAAAAUGCCAUCAAUAAAUCACACCACUUUUACAUAGUAACUCUUUACUUCUAUGGCACCUUUCAUUCUGCCAGGAUCUCAGCUUCCUUCACCUUUGCUUGUUCCCACCAUGGACACCACACUGAUCCACCCUGUGGAAAAGGAAGUGGCAAGCCCCCUGAGUACUUUGACGUGUGAGAUAGGACCUGGGAACUACAAGUCCCCCUAACCCUAGAGAAUCUAGUGCCAGGAAGAGAGAGGGAAGAAGACGGUGUGUUUGGAGGGGAUGGUGGUGAGAUCAGACAGCCCCAUCUUUUCUACUGCUCUUUGAAACCAUCGUUAAAAAUAUGAAAAACUAAUCACAAAUUAAGAAAAAAUAUUUGCAACGCACAUAUUUGUCAAAGGACUUGUAUCCUGAAUAUAUAAAGGACUGAACAGAAUAUAAGUAUAUAAAGAAUAUAGGGCUUCCCUGGUGGUGCAGUGGUUGAGAACCCACCCGCCAGUGCAGGGGACACGGGUUCGGGCCCUGGUCCGGGAGGAUCCCACAUGCCAUGAAGCAGCUGGGCCUGUGCACCACAACUACUGAAGCCCGCACACCUAGAGCCCGUGCUCCACAACAAGAGAAGCCACCACGAUGAGAAGCCCAUGCACCANNNNNNNNNNNNNNNNNNNNNNNNNNNNNNNNNNNNCGCACCACAACAAAGAGUAGCCCCCGCUUGCCGCAACUAGAGAAAGCCCGCACACAGCAACAAAGACCCAAUGGAACCAAAAAUAAUAAAUAAAUUUAAAAAAAAAAGAAUAUAAAGAAUUCAACAAUAAGACAAACCCAGUUUUUAAAAGUGGGCAAAUAAUUUGAACCCACACUUCACAACAGUUUUUUCAGUUUAUUAUUUGUAUCUCCCAGUUUUGCAAUCACGUCGUCCUUGGUUCUAGAGUGCCUCUGGGUUAACACUGCAAAGGGACCAGCUGAGCCCAUUUUAUACGGACCCUCACGCAACAGUACAACUGUGAAAUCAUCUGUGGCUCCCUCCAUCUCUUACUUUAACUCUCCGUGUGACUGAGUCUCGUUUCCUCAUCUGUAUAAUGGAGAAACCAAUACCUCCACGUCUGAGGCGUGGAGAGAAUCAAAUAAGACUAAAAAGAACUUUUAUAAAGGUCAAAGAUAUAUACUCUCAUUGCAGGGGUCCUAGUUUUAGCUCAAGCUGGAGGACUGCACCAGCCUGGAGUUGAUGGGCCCAGAGGGGGGGCGCUGGAAGAUGGGAAGAACUGAGAUCAGCCCUGGGAAGGUGAGCAGGGAGGACUGCCCGAGGCCCGGUGGUGCCCAAGCCUAGGCCCUUGGAUUUGUCUGACUCCGGCGGUGGA
This 1724-nucleotide long non-coding RNA is filed under the name Physeter macrocephalus (sperm whale). RNAcentral's name for it is "Physeter catodon (sperm whale) lncRNA (ENSPCTG00005015484.1)". Lineage: Eukaryota; Metazoa; Chordata; Mammalia; Artiodactyla; Physeteridae. The record is from RNAcentral.